RNAcentral lists this ribosomal RNA (253 nucleotides) under uncultured bacterium. RNAcentral's name for it is "partial 16S ribosomal RNA". It matches the Rfam family "Bacterial small subunit ribosomal RNA", at positions 524 to 776 of the family's 1533-position model. The record is from RNAcentral.
UACAGAGGUCUCAACCGUUGUUCGGAUUCAUUGGGCGUAAAGGGUGCGUAGGCGGUCGCGUAAGUCGGAUGUGAAAUCCCAGGGCUCAACCCUGGAACUGCAUUCGAUACUGCGUGGCUAGGGUACUGGAGAGGAGACUGGAAUUUACGGUGUAGCAGUGAAAUGCGUAGAUAUCGUAAGGAAGACCAGUGGCGAAGGCGAGUCUCUGGACAGUUACCGACGCUGAGGCACGAAGGCCAGGGGAGCAAACGGG